AUGUAUCUAGUGCUAAACAAAUCUUUGGAGGUAAAUUAGCAGCAUGACUAACUUAGCCAUUGCUGUCAGUCACCUUCAGACAUGU
Molecule: small nucleolar RNA, 85 nt
Filed under: Dipodomys ordii (Ord's kangaroo rat)
Lineage: Eukaryota; Metazoa; Chordata; Mammalia; Rodentia; Heteromyidae
Source: RNAcentral